This 503-nucleotide ribosomal RNA is filed under the name uncultured bacterium. RNAcentral's name for it is "partial 16S ribosomal RNA". It matches the Rfam family "Bacterial small subunit ribosomal RNA", at positions 30 to 523 of the family's 1533-position model. The record is from RNAcentral.
AUUGAACGCUGGCGGCAGGCUUAACACACGCAAGUCGAGCGGGGUGAUGGUGCUUGCACUAUCACUUAGCGGCGGACGGGUGAGUAAUGCUUAGGAAUCUGCCUAUUAGUGGGGGACAACAUCUCGAAAGGGAUGCUAAUACCGCAUACGUCCUACGGGAGAAAGCAGGGGAUCACUUGUGACCUUGCGCUAAUAGAUGAGCCUAAGUCGGAUUAGCUAGUUGGUGGGGUAAAGGCCUACCAAGGCGACGAUCUGUAGCGGGUCUGAGAGGAUGAUCCGGCACACUGGGACUGGGACACGGCCCAGACUCCUACGGGAGGCAGCAGUGGGGAAUAUUGGACAAUGGGGGGAACCCUGAUCCAGCCAUGCCGCGUGUGUGAAGAAGGCCUUAUGGUUGUAAAGCACUUUAAGCGAGGAGGAGGCUCUUUUGGUUAAUACCCAAGAUGAGUGGACGUUACUCGCAGAAUAAGCACCGGCUAACUCUGUGCCAGCCGCCGCAGUAA